Molecule: ribosomal RNA, 301 nt
Filed under: uncultured bacterium
Lineage: Bacteria
Description: partial 16S ribosomal RNA
Rfam family: Bacterial small subunit ribosomal RNA
Source: RNAcentral
CAGCCGCCACGGUAAAACGUAGGUGGCAAGCGUUGUCCGGAAUUAUUGGGCGUAAUGGGCUCGCAGGCGGUUUCUUAAGUCUGAUGUGAAAGCCCCCGGCUCAACCGGGGAGGGUCAUUGGAAACUGGGAAACUUGAGUGCAGAAGAGGAGAGUGGAAUUCCACGUGUAGCGGUGAAAUGCGUAGAGAUGUGGAGGAACACCAGUGGCGAAGGCGACUCUCUGGUCUGUAACUGACGCUGAGGAGCGAAAGCGUGGGGAGCGAACAGGAUUAGAUACCCGCGUAGUCCCUGUCUCUUAUAC